AUUGAACGCUGGCGGCAGGCCUAACACAUGCAAGUCGAACGAGUGGCGGACGGGUGAGUAAUGUCUGGGAACCUGCCCGUUGGCGGGGGAUAACUACUGGAAACGGUAGCUAAUACCGCGUACCAUCGGCUGUGCCCAGAUGGGAUUAGCUUGUAGGUGAGGUAAAGGCGCACCUAGGCGACGAUCCCUAGCUGGUCUGAGAGGAUGACCAGCAACACUGGAACUGAGACACGGUCCAGACUCCUACGGGAGGCAGCAGUGGGGAAUAUUGGACAAUGGGCGCAAGCCUGAUGCAGCCAUGCCGCGUGUAUGAAGAAGGCCUUCGGGUUGUAAAGUACUGUCAGCGGGGAGGCGUUACCCGCAGAAGAAGCACCGGCUAACUCCGUGCCAGCAGCCGCGGUAAUUC
Molecule: ribosomal RNA, 406 nt
Filed under: uncultured bacterium
Lineage: Bacteria
Description: partial 16S ribosomal RNA
Rfam family: Bacterial small subunit ribosomal RNA
Source: RNAcentral